CUCUCUCUCUCUCUCUCUCUCUCUGUGUAUCAAUCUCUCUUGAAAUGGUGAAGAAAAAGGUUCCUGAUUGGCUCAACAGCUCUCUCUGGGCCACUACCACCAGUUCUUCCUCGUCCGCCGACGACGAUCGCCUUCAACGCUACUCGUCCUAACACUCCAUUAUCGCCGCCAACGGAGCCUCUCGAUGGGUCACCGGUUCCGGUCUCAACGCCGGCCUCAAUAAGAGAGCAGCCUCCUCGUCCUUCGAAGCCUGAAAUCAAAAUUAAGGAUAAAGAUAAGGAUUCGCGAAACAGCGUUAGUAGUAAUAUCAAUAAUAAUGAGGAGGAUAAUGGGAACUCCGUUGCCGGUCCCUCUGCUGAGGAUAUUUCUAGACAGGCUCAGCUCUUGACCGAGUUGUCGAAGAAGGUGGUAAAUAUUAGGGAGUUAAGGAGAAUUGCAUCUCAGGGGAUACCUGAUGGUGCUGGCAUUCGUUCCAAGGUCUGGAAGCUUUUACUGGGGUAUUUACCAGCUGAUCGCUCACUUUGGUCAAGUGAACUGGCUAAGAAGAGGUCUCAGUACAAGCAUUUUAAAGAGGAGCUUUUAAUCAAUCCUUCGGAAAUCACAAGGAGGUUGGAGAAAUCCACAGUUUGUGAAAAUGAUGAGGCAAAAAGUGAAAGCAGUGGUAUGCUAUCAAGAUCACAAAUAACCCAUGGAGAGCAUCCUUUGAGCCUUGGGAAGACCAGCAUCUGGAAUCAGUUCUUCCAGGACGCAGAGAUCAUGGAGCAAAUUGACCGAGAUGUGAAACGUACUCAUCCAGACUUGCACUUCUUUUCUGGGGACUCAUCUUUUGCAAAAUCCAAUCAGGAGGCUUUGAAAAACAUACUGAUUGUAUUUGCUAAAUUAAAUCCGGGCAUAAGAUAUGUUCAAGGGAUGAAUGAAAUUCUGGCACCUCUUUUUUAUGUAUUUAGAAAUGACCCUGACGAGGAAAUGGCGGCUUGUUCUGAAGCAGACACAUUCUUUUGUUUUGUUGAAUUAUUAAGUGGAUUUCGGGAUCAUUUCUGUCAGCAACUUGAUAACAGUGUUGUUGGGAUUCGUUCAACAAUUACAAAGUUGUCACAGCUUUUGAAAGAACAUGAUGAAGAACUUUGGCGCCAUCUUGAGGUCACAACCAAGGUCAACCCCCAAUUUUAUGCAUUUAGGUGGAUUACUCUCCUCUUGACUCAGGAAUUCAAUUUUGCUGAUUGUCUUCAUAUUUGGGACACACUUCUGAGCGACCCUGAAGGUCCACAGGAAACUUUACUACGGAUUUGUUGUGCAAUGCUGAUUCUCAUUCGGAGGCGACUACUAGCAGGGGAUUUCACUUCUAAUCUCAAGCUUCUCCAGAACUAUCCACCUACAAAUAUCAGCCAUUUGCUUUAUGUUGCAAACAAGUUGCGUGCUCAACCAUCGGGCUAAUUAAUUUUUAUCACA
RNAcentral lists this unclassified non-coding RNA (1449 nucleotides) under Hevea brasiliensis (rubber tree). Lineage: Eukaryota; Viridiplantae; Streptophyta; Magnoliopsida; Malpighiales; Euphorbiaceae. The record is from RNAcentral.